GGCACUUCCUAAUCCCUUCCCAGUAGGUCAGAGUGUAUCAGCCAUCAAAAUAAGCAUUACAGAGCUGCUUCUUAUGCCAGACUGCCUUGUAAGAUGAUUGAAGACCAAUGGAAGGCCCAUGCCCCAAGAUAGAUGGAUGCCUCAGUCCUGAAACCAGCAGAAGCCCUGAGAGCCGAGAUGUAUAGAAGGCUACCUGAGUUGGAUGGACGACCCAACCAAGUUGGGAUGGAAGGCUUUAGUUCUGAGUUAUACACAAGGCCCAAGACGUGGGAUGGGAAACUGAAGAUCUUGGAGCCAGGACAUGUGGAUAACCUGAGAAUUGAGAUGUAAAACACAAGACCCAAGACCUGAGAUGAAAAGCCCAAGGUCUUUAGUUUGACCUGUAUCCAAGAAUGGACAUCCUCAGAUCCAGGAUGCAAGGCCCUAGAUGGACAGAAGGCCCAAGAGAGACAAAACUCAAGAUUAAAGAAGCCCUAGGCUGAGGAGAAGAAGAAAAUAUCAGGCAUUUGGGAAAAAAAAGUGCCAGGAUCUCUAGAGAAGGUGUGAACAGAUGUUCCAGGCCACUGAAAAGCCUUAGACAAGAAAUAUAAAGAUGUAUCAACAUGCUGAGAAGCACCAUCCAGCAACACCUUAACUUCUUUGAUCUGGGUGAGCGGGAUUCCUAAGGUUUGAGAUUCCUAGUUGAUGGUUUACAGAAAGGAUGAUUGGGUUUGGGGCAGAGUGAGGCCCCAAAGGGACAGCCUGAACUCCCUGCUCAUAGUAGUGGCCAAAUAAUUUGGACUUCAUCAGUGCUAUGGAUUCCUCGGUUUAAUACUAACCAUGUCUAGGCCUAAAGGAGAGUAAAGUUGGGUUUGCUUGUAGCAGGUUUACUAUUUUUUAAUUUUUUCCCCUUUUUAUGUGGGAAGAUGGUUUAAAUGAUUGCUUAUGUGUAUGAAAACACUUUGCAGACUGUGAAACACAGGAGAAAAGCAAGGUGUUUUCAUUAUAAUUUAUUGACAGCUAGGCACAGUUAAUAUUUCAGAGUGUACUGUAAGCAGUAAAGCAUUAAUUAUAGCAAACUUUCUGUGAGGGGUGAAAUAGUAAACGUUUUAGUUUUGGUGGGCUGUAUAGUCUAUUGCACAUUCUUUUUUUUCCUUACAACCCUUUAACAUUGUUAAAACCAUUCCUAGUUUAUAGGGCAAGUGAGAUUUGGCCUGCUGGCCAGUUUAACCACCAUCUGAUAUAAAUGCCAGGGACUAUGUGCUGAAUACUACUAAUUUCCUUCUCUGUGCCUCUUUCUGUGCUAGGCAGUAUGGAUGCACUGAUUAUUUGUGAUGACAUCCCAGCAAAGGAGAAACAUGUGCAUAUACUUUCUAAACUGUGAAGCACUUAAAAACUAAUGGGUUUCAGUGUUUUGAGUGAUUGUUGAUUACUUAUUUUAUGUAUUCAAGUGUGCUAGGCACAUGGAUACAAAGAUUAAAAGAAGCAAAAAUUUAAAAGUGCAUUACUUCAAGUAUGUAGUGUUUAUGCAGAUACAAGUGUUGGAUAAAUGAAUAAUUUAUAUAUUAUUGGCCAACCAUGUUUCUGCUGUUAUGGCAAUUUUGAGUAAAAUAAGAAUUACAGUAAUCCAGGUAGCAGAAAAGAGAAACUAUAACAUAUACUGUAUACUGUAAACAGUACCAUGCCAGGUACCAUGCUAGGUGGUAUUGUUGUCAUUACAGUAUUAAAAUUUUAAGAAAGGAAAUUAUAUUGAAGUGUUUUGUAAACUAAAGCACUAUCCAAAUACCAGUGGAUUACGUAUUUAUAAAUGAAUAAAUAUUAAUCACCUCAGUAUCAGCCAGUUUUGGGUACUGUGGAAUCCAAGAUAAAUACUUAUCCCAAAUAAUAAGAGGAAGAUCAAUGCCCUUAUCAUUUAUAUGUAAGGAAUUACAUGUUUGUUUAAUUUAUCAAACAAGAGUUCCUGGGGAUGCCUAAUUCAACUAUUACCAGCAUGUUGUCCGAGGUAUUAGAGAAAAGGGUAAUGAAUGUGAGUGCUUUUUCGAAACUUUGCAGUGCUACAUAAAUGUAAGAUGUUAACGUGCUUUCUGUAUGAAUAAAGUUUUCUCUGAGCUAGGCUUGUUUCUACAAAUUGUUCUGGGCUCACAGAAGAGAAAGAUAAGUUUAGUAUACAAGAAAUUUUUCUGUAACAUGUAAACCACUACCCAAAGAUACAUAAGGGUAUUUGCCAAAUAAAUAUUAACAGUACGUAUCAGGCACUGGAGAUGAAAUGAUUUCUCAUUGCGUGCUUGACCCAUGAUGAGAAAGGUAUUGUUACUAGUUACACAAAUUUAGGGUUUAUAUACUUGUUAAAUGAAUGAAUCAGUAUUGCCUACUGUAUGAACUCACAGACACUGAAGAGAUACACAGUUGACUGACUAUUGUUCACAGCUGAGAAUAAGGUAAUACAUGUUUUAGUAUUUUGUGAACUAUAAAGCAGCAUAUAAAUGUAACUACUGGUGUUAUUUGGUGCUUGUAUAAAAUUGCACCAUUGUACUCUAUGCAGGAGGUAAUAAAAAGGGUUUGAGGAAAGAUUGAUAACUAAUUUAACCCUGAAUAUAAUACAUAAAGGACUAAGUAAGUGAUGAACUACAAGAACAGGGGGUGAUUGUUUGCCAGCUUCUUGGUAGGCAUUGGGGAUGUGAAGAUAAAUGAUCUUGAUCGUGUACUGAGUAGCAGAAAACAGUAUGUGUAAAAUUGGCUUAUAAGUUGUAAACUGCUAUACAUAAGGUAUCUGCUGAAUGAAUAUUGAUUAUUUUUAUGUCUUAUCUUCAGAGAUAGUGACUGUGGUACAAAAAUUCAUUAUUAUUUAACCUGCAAUAGAGAUCUGUGUAAAUUUACAGGGCCUAGUGUUUUACACAGAUAAAAAUAAUUCACUGUCAACUUAGUGAAUGAAUAGUGAUUAUUGUCUAUGAGGCUCAGAACUGUGAUUGCCUAUGAUUAUGUGGUGCUCACAGGAAAUCAUAAAAUAAUAGGUUGUGAGAUCCAGACUGAAAGUCACUUGACCACUACUAAGCUCAUUCAAUGAUGAGAACAUGGGGGGAAAACAAAGGAAUUGGAUUUCUUUGAGUCAGUUAACAAUUUGUAGGAGUGUGCUAAAUGCUGAACUAACUAGAGACAUAAAAUUCAGUCCUGAAAGCAACUUUCUCCAUGGCCUUACUUAAGAGAUGGGGAAAAAUGUUUAUAAAGCAAGGGAUUGUGGUUUUCCAGUUUCUUAAAUGCUGAGUGCUGAAGAUAGAGGAGAAAUAAAUCCAACCCUGGACUAACUUAAGAGACUGUAAAGGAAUAAAAAUAAAUGGCUGAGGUUUGUUUUUUUGAUUCAUUUGAUGAACAUUUAAAUGUUUUGUGGAAAAUACUUUUCUAGGUCCUAAAAAUAGAGAGGUGAAAUGGGCCUGGUCUAAAGGGAAGAUCACUGAUCACAGCUGAAGAUAGGAAAAAUCUUUGGUUUAUUUAUACAGUAAACAUUUGAAUGUCAGUUCUCCACAAGGUACUAUGCUGGAGAAGUUAGUUAAGUAGGUAUGGUCAUUGACUUGCCUUGGAGAUUAAAAAAUGUCAGCAAAAAGGCAAGGUUCUUUAAAUACAAAAUGAAGAUUUUCUAGUUCCAGGGAGCCUGACAGUCACUUGCUGUUUGUUAUUGGCCUAGUUUGAAGCCAGAUGACCAAUAAAAGGUCUCAAAGGCUUAAGGUUUGUCCUUUAAUUAACAUUCUGCUUCUAUUAAAUGGUUUAAGAUGGAAGCAUCUGGUUGUAGAGGUAUUUGCUCAUUGACCUGGCUUAGAGUCAGAAGGACACUUGAGCACUAAAGUGGAUUCGUUCUACAUUGACCAUAUUUAGUAAAACUUUAUUGGUUAAACCUAAAUGAAAUGCCAUUCUUAAAUGCUGUAGAGAAUGAGAUGAUUUUAAAACACCUAGACCAAAAUGCACUUAGUUUAUGGUAGAAACAAAUUUAAAAAGAAACUGUGGUGGUUCUCUUUUAGUUGAAAAAAAAAAAAAUGAGCAGCUGCCGUAUGUAAGACACUGAGUGCCUUUUUUCCAUUCAUACAUAUGUUAAUGAAGGUGAUGUUAAGUGAAAUAGAUCCAGUUCAAAAAGCAUUUAGUUUGACUUUGAGAUGCAGUUAAAACAAUAAGAAGUGGAGCGACAUUCUUCUCACCAAAUAAAAGUGUUUUGUCAAGGUAUUGUGUUAAGUCCUAGGGAAAAAAAAAUUGAAAGAGAUCUUGAUUGAAAGACAGUUGGCUUGGAGACUAGAAUAUAAGGAGGAGGUUCAUUUAUUUUUUCAUUUUUUCAUUCAUAGUACAAGUAUCUUGGGGUGCCUGUUGGCUAUGAGGCCUUUUACUAGGUUCUCACUUGGCCCCAGAGACAUGAAAAAAUGCAUGCCUUCCUGGAGAAUUUCUAUACCUUUCCUUUUGCCUUAUUUUCAGGUGAGGUGUGUGGUUUAAUAUCUAAUAAAUAUUGCAUGGUUUAAUUCCAAAUCCAUAGCUCUUCUCCCACCUCUGGCCACUACGAUAAGCAGGUAGCUGGGUUUUCUAUUGAGCUUGCUCUUAAAGUUGCAGAAAUUGUCUCUAUUUAGACAUUUCAUUUUUUCUAGCUCAUCCCUCAUGAAAAUUGGCUGUAGCCACUGUUAAACAGAAGGAGGGAUGACUAACCAGUUCCCAAACUCCAGUUUCAUUGGGUCCCCCUUUGGAGAACAAACACCCCAUGCUCAGGCCACAGUUGAUUUUGAGAUGCAUUUACCAGUUUUGUCUAUUUUCAAUUCAAUUCUCUUUCCCAGUUUACAUAUAUAUAUUGCCUAAAUAAAUCUCUUGCAGGAAUAGUUCUCAGAUAACAUCAUGACAAAACUGGAGAUAGAGACAUGAUUUGUCUUCUGCAACAGCUUCUCUACUUACACUAUAGAAAUGUCUUCCUCAUGAUCAAAACCUGCUCAAGAAAGGACUUGUUUCAGUAGCAUAAUGUUGAUGGAUGAAAACCGCUUUAAAAAAUGUUAUCCUGCUGGCUUAAGUUUUAAGAAUAAUAAAAUGAAAAUUGGAAAUAUUGGCAAAAAAAAAAAAAAAAAAAAAAAAACCCACAAAGAAACAAACCUUUAAAUAUAGGUCCAACUGGGCUUUGACCUUUUCUAUUUUUAAAUCACUCGCAGAGGGUGGGAUAGGAGGAAGAGUGACAGAAAAGGUCAAACCUGCUUUCUGUGGGCAGCCAGCCUUUGUUCUCGGUUAGACUUAGGAGAGUUUACUAACUAGUCUAAAACGUGGAGUUGCUUCUUCUUAAUUUAAUGUAGUUCCAAUAAUUUUUGAUCAUUGCUAAACAAAAUCUUUGAAUGGUUAUCAACUAAGCCUUUGGCUAGAUAGGAAUGGAAUGUAUUAAUUGAAUCCAUGUGACCCCUCCAUUGUAAGGUUAUCUUAAAAUUGAAAUCCAAAUUAACUGCAAAAAAGAGAACUUUAUUGUUCGUUGUAAUUCUUCGACUCAAAGCUUGUAAACUGUAGUUUAUAUACCAUGCUGACAAUGAUAUGCACAAAAGGAGAGGGAAAUAGAGGAAUGGCAAAGGACAAAACUGAUGGAAGAAGCAAGGUUAAAAGGAUUUGGGGAUGAUGUUUCUAGCAUUUGUUUUGUACAUUUUUAGUUAGGCAUCAGAUACAGCUGAAAUACUAAUGUCUGGCUUUUAAUGUGUAGUAACAGCCAGGCUUGGUAAUUCCUCCUUUUCAGGUGGGGUUGGUAGGGGGGCAUUAUUGGAAAGUGGAAAGGAGAAAAUAACUAAAAGCCUUCCUUUCUCAGUUUCUGACACCAUAAGACUACCACUACUGAUAAGAAUAAGAGGACAUGCUAUCUGUUUUGUGGCUUAAAUGAUGUUAUGAACAAAUCCAGUUUUAAAGGAAAUGACAUUGCCUCUACCCUUCUACCUCAAAGGGAAGAUAUACCAAAAUGCUAUGAUAAGUGGAAGACACACUUUGACUCAUCUGAUAAAAAAAUGCAGAAUCUUUGUUGGUUCAUGAAUGAGUUGAACAUUGAAAAAUGUUGCUCGGCAUGGGUGACUACCAAAAACCACUUUGAACUUAGUAGCUUUUUUAUAGCUUUAAUUUUCUGGUUAACUAAAGGGCAAGUAUUUGUGUGUUCCUAAAACUCAACCAGAGGUCUUAAACUCGGCUCAAAUAAGCUAUUUUGCUUCUUUUGCCCAAGUUACUGCAACCCUUAUCUACAUGUCACAACUGAAAUAAACUUGGGACUUUGUUCUGUAAAAUAAAAUGUACUGUUUUGAAAACUU
Molecule: long non-coding RNA, 6263 nt
Organism: Choloepus didactylus (southern two-toed sloth)
Lineage: Eukaryota; Metazoa; Chordata; Mammalia; Pilosa; Megalonychidae
Exons: 2
Source: RefSeq, a predicted model, not a curated record